UCCGAGUUAGACCCGGCAGUCUCCGGUGACACAAGUAACACCGGACAAGGGUUGCGCUCGUUGCGGGACUUAACCCAACAUCUCACGACACGAGCUGACGACAGCCAUGCAGCACCGGUGCAGCACCCUCGAAGGCGGCCGGAUUUCUCCGGCCUGCAGCUGCAUGUCCAACCUGGGUAAGGUUCUGCGCGUUGCGUCGAAUUAAACCACACGCUCCGCUGCUUGUGCGGGCCCCCGUCAAUUUCUUUGAGUUUUAGCCUUGCGGCCGUACUCCCCAGGCGGAGUGCCUAACGCGUUAGCUUCGGCACCACGAGGGUCAAAGCCCGUGACACCUAGCACUCAUCGUUUACGGCGUGGACUAC
RNAcentral lists this unclassified non-coding RNA (362 nucleotides) under uncultured bacterium. RNAcentral describes it as "contains 16S-23S intergenic spacer region". The record is from RNAcentral.